RNAcentral lists this ribosomal RNA (437 nucleotides) under Zelomorpha sp. 98 NL-2005. RNAcentral describes it as "partial 28S ribosomal RNA". The record is from RNAcentral. Lineage: Eukaryota; Metazoa; Arthropoda; Insecta; Hymenoptera; Braconidae.
UAAAAGUUCGAAAAGAGAGAUUCAACGUCAGCAUGUACAGUAUUGACGUGAGUAGUGAUGUCAGUUUUAUUGGGCGGGUCAAAUCAAACAAUUAUAACUGACACAUUUUCAUGUUAUUUUUAUUGCUGUAUUAUUGUCGGCGUGCACUUCUCUCUUAGUAGGACGUCCCGACCCGUUGAGUCUUAGCCUACGGCCCGAAUGGAUGCCUUUAAUAUUUUUAUAUUAAAAUCCUUUGGUGUCUCCUGGCCUAAGUGCUCGACGGUGAAAAAUGAUAUGGUAUUAAGUCGCAAUUUAUUGUGCGUCCGGCCUGCCGCAAGUUUAUUGACAAUUUCUGUACACAUAGACUAUGUCCUAAGUGUAUGGUGUUGUUGGCUGUUUGCAUGACAGUGCUCUUGGACAGGCUUAGUAUAUACCUGUCAGGACGCUUAGGCUUUGGG